GGCACUGUGGCUCAAGUGGUAGAGUGCUAGUCUUGAGCACUUGAGCUAGUCUUAAGGCUUGGGGACAGUGCCA
RNAcentral lists this transfer RNA (73 nucleotides) under Dipodomys ordii (Ord's kangaroo rat). It matches the Rfam family "tRNA". From Rfam's summary of the family: Transfer RNA (tRNA) molecules are approximately 80 nucleotides in length. Lineage: Eukaryota; Metazoa; Chordata; Mammalia; Rodentia; Heteromyidae. The record is from Rfam by way of RNAcentral.